Molecule: ribosomal RNA, 447 nt
Filed under: uncultured bacterium
Lineage: Bacteria
Description: partial 16S ribosomal RNA
Rfam family: Bacterial small subunit ribosomal RNA
Source: RNAcentral
AACGAACGCUGGCGGCAGGCCUAACACAUGCAAGUCGAACGCCCAGUAACGGGAGUGGCGCACGGGUGCGUAACGCGUGGGAAUAUACCCUUAGGUACGGAACAACGUUUGGAAACGAACGCUAAUACCGUAUAAUGACUCCGGUCCAAGGAUUUAUCGCCUAAGGAUUAGCUCGCGUUAGAUUAGCUAGUUGGUGAGGUAAAGGCUCACCAAGGCGACGAUCUAUAGCUGGUCUGAGAGGAUGAUCAGCCACACUGGAACUGAGACACGGUCCAGACUCCUACGGGAGGCAGCAGUGAGGAAUAUUGGACAAUGGGCGAAAGCCUGAUCCAGCCAUGCCGCGUGAAUGAUGAAGGCCUUCGGGUUGUAAAGUUCUUUUAGAUGUGAAGAUAAUGACGGUAGCAUCAGAAAAAGCCCCGGCUAAAUUCGUGCCAGCAGCCGCCGUAA